Molecule: non-coding RNA, 5163 nt
Organism: Equus caballus (horse)
Lineage: Eukaryota; Metazoa; Chordata; Mammalia; Perissodactyla; Equidae
Source: RefSeq, a predicted model, not a curated record
GGGCCGGCUGAGGCCAUUCGGGCCCCGCCCACCGGCGAGCGGCGGUGCGGAGGGCGAGCGGGCUGGGGGCCGGAGCCGGCAGCGGGUCGGAGCGGGCAGGGGGCCGGAGCGGGCAGGGGGCCGGAGCGGGCUGGGCGCGGCGCCGCCCUCCUACGAGGCCGCUGCGUCGGGUCGGCGCCAGCCUGCUGUCAGCGCGCGGCGUGUCAGGGAUGGAGCCGCAUCCCCGCACCGUCUGCUGAUCUCGGGCUGGGCGGGGCCCUCCCUGGGGGGGUUCCAACACUAAUAAUAUUCCCUGCCAUGGCUUUCAGAGCUCUUCCAAGUCCAUUUUCUCAGAUCGACUUUUCAUGCCUCCGUGCUGAGCCCGCUGCCGGGCGCCUUGGCUCCCAGCAAACUCCUACCCUUCAGGGUCCACUUGAAAUUGUUAGCAACUUCACCUCGCUGCCCUGGGGCUCCGACCCACACUCCGAGGAGCUCCGAGGAGGGGCCCCCGAGGGCCCCGUACACACAAUCCGUCCCUUCCGCCAAGGGCUCUUUCCCGUUCGGUAUCGAGGAUUUGGAAGGAAACCGAAGCUGGGUGUUCACCGGCGCGAGCUUUAUUCAAUUGCCAAGAAGGGAGAAGCGGGAGCCAAGUCCACGAAUGCGCUCCUCAGUUCUGAUUAAGCAGCUGCUAUGGGUUCAGGCCCCUUCCUCGCCCCUGGCCCAACAAACUUGGAUGCCUUCUUCGGGCCCCACAGAAACGUCCGCACACACCAUUUGAGGGCAAGAGCCGUGUUUGACGGAAUCUGCAAGCCCCCUCCCCCGGUGCCUCCCACGCGCCCAGCUCAGAGGGAAGCCAGGAAGAUGAGAAAACCAAGACCAAGAGACAUUGGCUAAUUUCUCCAAGACGCUGAGCCAGACGGCGGAGUAGCUCGCCCACGUGUCUUCCUCUGGAAUGUGUGUUCUUUCCUCUCUUCCAGGCUGCCCUACUUUGCUCUUUAAAGAGUAAUUUUGUGACCCAAAUAAAUCUAAUUGGUGACAUUUCCAGCUGGAAGACGAGGUGACCUUUCCUAUCCCUGCUGACCCUGCUGUUCCCUAGGAUGUUAUUUUUGGGAGGAAGGAAGGACUCUGCCUGGCUUGACGGGACAAGGGGCCCUCUGGGAUCUCUCUGAUUGAUACUGCAGUUUUGAAUAACUGCUGGUCUUACCUCUGAAUGAUGGCAACGCCUCUUCUGGGACCAUGGCUGGAGAGCGAGAGGGAAGCGCUUGUUCCCCAGAACAGUGACUCACACAUAGCUAGGCAUUUAAUUGUGGAAUGAAUGAAUGAAUGAAUGAACACUUUCCAGAAACAUGGAAGGCCUGGGAGAGAUGGACAAUUUCCUCUGAGUCAGGCAGGUCACGUCCAGUCUUAUUUGAAAGGGGCAUGUAGGGGGGUGGGAAGCACUUGGCAAGCGACUUAAGCCUUGCAUGCCUUGGUUUCCUCAUCCGUGAACCGAAGAAGGAGAGGAAAGAACUACCUCAUUGGGCUGUUGAGGGUCAAAUGGGAGGGGGCAUGUAAGGGGCUACUGGCGUUGUCAGGGAGCCUGCCACACGGCGAGCACACAGUAAGCCGUGACUUGUAUUAUUAUGAGAUGUCGUUCUCUCUCGUGCAUGGGUGGGUACGUGGGAAUGUUAGCUCACAAACAGACUUUGGAAGCCCAGGACACCAGUUCCAGGGCAGGAGCUCAGGGGAGUCUCAGGCUGUGGCCCCCUAGCCCUGGAAAACUCAGUGGUCAAGGGUCUGGGCCCCAGAGGGCUAAGGCAGGAUGCUGGGGCAAAAAGGAACAAAACAUUUUUGCUGAAUGGCCCAUGAGAACCAGCACUGUUGUUCCCAAUGUAUUAGCCAAGUUAGUUACUUGCUCACCAUUUAGUGAGCAUCUAGUAUGUGCCAGGACUAGAGGCGGGAAUGCAGAAAUAAGACACGUCCUAGAAAGGCCAGGGUCGAGGGAGGAGACAGACAAGGACACAGACAGGUACAAGGAGAGAAGCCUUCACAGGUGCUGUGGGGACCAGAAGAGCCUGUGACCCAGUGCAGAAGCAGGGGGUGGGCACCACCCAGCCGGAGCACGGGUGGGGAGGCGAGGGGGUGAGACACGAGGCUGGACAGGUGAGCAUCCUGCGGAUGCCCAGGGAGGAAGUGAUGGCCUGCAAUGUGUACUUUGGGCUGCUGCACCAGCACCAGUAGUCUGGAGUCAGUCGUGGGUUUGAAUUUCAGCUCUGCCUCCUGAUGGCUGGGCAACCUUCAACAAGGUUCUCAGCCUCUCUGGGCCAUAGUUUCUAUACUCACAAAUGGGGAUUAAUUAAAGUACCUAAGCAAUCAGACCCUGAAACUGACUCAUGGGAACUAAGAGGGAGGGAGAGAGAAGCAGGUCAAGUGGAUUUCCGCCAGGAGAAUUAGAAAUAUGGCCGAGGCCUUAGGGAGUUCAGCAGGUGAUGGAACAGGAGCAGGAGUGGUCCAGGCAGAGGAGGGGGCCGUGGCCCACUGGAGAGCUCAAAGGACCAGAGCCAGAGAAUUCAGGAAAGAGAGACCCCAGACAAGACUGGAGAGGAAGGCAGGCCCAGCGGGCCGCAGCGGGAAAUUUGGCCCUGAGCCAGCAGCAGUGGGCAGUCCGUGCCCUGAUCAGACUAGCACCUUGGAAAGAGCAGCCUGUCCACUUUCCGGGGACUAGACUGGUGGGCUGAGACCCACAGGAGAUCAGUCCCCAGGCCACCACAGUAUCCAAGAGGGUCAUCAGGGGACAGGAGGAGUGAGCGCUGACUGAGCUCUUCCCGCGUGCCAGCACCUGGACGCAUCAUCUCCAGUACUCCUCACGGCCUGGAGAGGACAAGGACCGUCACCGUGCCAGUUACACCCAAGGAGCUGGGGUCUGGAAGAGCCACAAGCAGCAGGACCGGGAUCUGAACUCAGGUCUGGAGCUCUGAACCAUCCAUGGGAGAGAUGAAGUCACUCGAACGAGGGUGGAGGAAGAGGACAGGAGGGGGCCCUGGGGACACUGACAUCUAAGGCCUAGGAAGCAAAGGACACUGGAGAGGACUGGUCAGAAGACAGGGGUGUCUCGGAGGCUUGGGGAGAGGAGAGCAUGGUCACAAAGGCCAAUGCCUUCCUUCCCCAGUUAGGAGCUGGUCUCUGGCUGACUGGUUCAGGGAGGUGGGACAGUGGCCAGGGGCUGAAGAGUAAACAGGAGAUGGAAAGGGACCCAGUGGUUUUGCUGGGAAGGGAAAGGGCAGGAGAGGACAGUUGGGAGGGAGACGGGAUUGGGCUGGGUUAGGGGUUGGCUCGCACUUGUUCUCCCUCGAAGGUGGAGGGAAGGACCCAGUAGAGGGAGAGAAGUGAAAAGGCCAGAGGAAGGGAGCCCUCAAUGGAGAGAUGUCACUACUGAGAGGAGGGGAAGGAGGAAGCAGGCAGGUGCCCCUUUACCUGCGGGGCGGGGCAGGGCGGCGGCACAGAAGGCAGAGAGGGCACGGACCUUGAGGCGGGGGUCUUACUAGUCUUAUCCCCUCUACUUUACCCAGCAGGGUGCCUUAUGAAAUUGGAGCCCUCCAUAAAUGCUUGUCACCCCAGUUGAAGGGAAAUUGCUCCGGGAUGACGAGGCAGAAUGCUCUGUCCAGCCCAGCCCAGCCCCUCCUGCCCCACCUCCCCACUGGAGUGAAGGUGUAACACUCCUAGUACCCGGGCUGGUGGAGGGUCAGCGAAGCUCCGGGGUGUGAGCGGCCAGGAGCCAGGAAAUCGCUCCCAGAGAGAGCCGCCCCGCCUAAUGGGGUUUGCUGCCAUCAGAUGUGUGGAUCCUGUGCUCCCCAGAGUGAAACCUGAUAUCCCUGGGCAGGAGUGAGGGUCCCAUCACCUGUGAAAUGUUUGCCGCCCACAUCGUGCCAGGUGGUGUGGAAAGGGCGAAGGGCGCGCGAGCUCAUUCACUGAACACCCUCCCUUUGCCAGGCAGCUGGAGUUGGGGGGCUGGGGGCUGGCAGAUGCAGGGCCUCGACCCCAAAUCCCAGCUCCUCCACUUCCCAGCUGACUUAGGAGAAGGGUGGGAAGACUGAGUAGGUGCCCGGGCCAGGGCAGUGGCUCAGUGAACAUUCGCUGGUCUCCAUUCACGUCCUUUGUCGCUGUUGAUCCCCACUACAGUCCUGUGCAGGCUGGUAUCAGUGUGCCCAUUUUACAGACGAGGCAGCACCACACAGGCUGAUUAUAGCUUCCACCUCCUCGAGGGCAAACUGGAGGCCCACAGGUUAGACUGGACCAGGAAGUGUUCUCCUUGCUCCACAAAGAGCUUUGUAAGACCCAGACAAUUCUAAAGGACAGCUUCCCAGGCUUGCUUCAAUAUUUAGAAGAUCUGGCAGCACUCGGCUCCCCACGGACAGAGGAGCAGCCACCACCUUUGGACAGAGUCCAAGCUCCCCAGCUCACCCCAAUCCCCACCACUCCCUAUUGUCUCAUCCAUGAGUGUCCACUCACUUACAUUAUCUGUUGGGCUCCUGUCAUCUGCUGAGUCUGCCAAGGCCUGGUGAGUGUUUCUCAUCCUACAUGGGGAGGAAAUGGAGCCAGAGAGAAAGUUGACAUAUGUUCCCAGCUCCAGUCACAAAGCACUGAACCUUGACAUAUAGAAAGAGAAGCCAAAAUAUGGAAAGAGAGCGAGCAUAGCUGCGCUCGAGUCCACGGUAAAUGCCUCCACAGCCCAGGAAGCAACUGAAGCAGGAGCCCUUGGUGCCCUGGGGCUGGACGCCUGGGGGGUCCUGGGCCCUGGAGGACCCCACACCCACUGGCUGGCAGUCCCAGAAGAGAGCAGAGGGUGGCGGAGCAGCUGGAGAUGAAGAGCCGAGAGCUGAGAAUAUUCCAGUCAAUGAGGAAGCCUUCCAGGAGGAGGUGGGUGUGGUGGGCUUAGGGUGGCCGGGCUUAGGGUGGGGGCGAAAGGAACGGCAGCUGUCCCACUGUCGGAGACCUUAGAGUGUAUCCAGCUUCCAGCUCAACCCCCAAGGCAGACCCCAACCCACACACACACACUCACUCAACUGUACAGCCACCCAGAGAGAGAAAAGACUGGCUAGAUUGUACCUUCCAAAAUUUUAAGGGCUGGCUCAGUGGCGCAGGGGUUAAGUUUGCACGUUCCACUUUGACUGCCCAGGGUUCGCCGGUUCAGAUCCCAGGUGUGGA